This 427-nucleotide ribosomal RNA is filed under the name uncultured Bacillus sp. RNAcentral describes it as "bacterial SSU rRNA". It matches the Rfam family "Bacterial small subunit ribosomal RNA", at positions 353 to 772 of the family's 1533-position model. Lineage: Bacteria; Bacillati; Bacillota; Bacilli; Caryophanales; Bacillaceae. The record is from RNAcentral.
AGUAGGGAAUCUUCCGCAAUGGACGAAAGUCUGACGGAGCAACGCCGCGUGAGCGAAGAAGGCCUUCGGGUCGUAAAGCUCUGUUGUUAGGGAAGAACAAGUACCAGAGUAACUGCUGGUACCUUGACGGUACCUAACCAGAAAGCCACGGCUAACUACGUGCCAGCAGCCGCGGUAAUACGUAGGUGGCAAGCGUUGUCCGGAAUUAUUGGGCGUAAAGCGCGCGCAGGCGGUCCUUUAAGUCUGAUGUGAAAGCCCACGGCUCAACCGUGGAGGGUCAUUGGAAACUGGGGGACUUGAGUGCAGAAGAGGAGAGUGGAAUUCCACGUGUAGCGGUGAAAUGCGUAGAGAUGUGGAGGAACACCAGUGGCGAAGGCGACUCUCUGGUCUGUAACUGACGCUGAGGCGCGAAAGCGUGGGGAGCGAA